AGUGAGAUAGCUGGGUCAAAUGGUGUUUCCAUUCCCAGUUUUCUGAGGAAUCUCCAUACUUCUUUCCAUAAUGGUUGCACCAAUUUUCAGUCCCACCAGCAAU
Molecule: microRNA precursor, 103 nt
Filed under: Marmota monax (woodchuck)
Lineage: Eukaryota; Metazoa; Chordata; Mammalia; Rodentia; Sciuridae
Source: RNAcentral